GACGGAGGAUGCGAGUGUUAUCCGGAAUCACUGGGCGUAAAGCGUCUGUAGGUGGUUUAAAAAGUCUGCUGUUAAAAAUUGAAGCUUAACUUCAAAGAUGCCGUAGAAACUUUUAAACUCGAGGAUGGUAGGGGUAGAGGGAAUUUCCAGUGGAGCGGUGAAAUGCGUAGAUCGUUGGAAAGACCACCAUGACGCAGUACGUCGAGCAUCGACGA
This 215-nucleotide ribosomal RNA is filed under the name uncultured bacterium. RNAcentral's name for it is "partial 16S ribosomal RNA". It matches the Rfam family "Bacterial small subunit ribosomal RNA", at positions 524 to 736 of the family's 1533-position model. The record is from RNAcentral.